ACUUUUGUUUUCAGAGAGGCUGAGAGAAAGCCACCUCAGCUCUUGGCAUGGCCACCAGCCUAAGGGCCCUGGGCUUUCCAGGGAGGGAAAGCUGUAUCCCACUCAGAGACUUCCUGGUAAAAUGAGGCCAGCGGUGCAAUUCUGUCAACACACAGCAAGAGAGCCAGUAUUGGUGGCUCUAGAAGGAACAAAACGGUCAUUUGUAGCUAUGAGCCUGAGGCUAUGGCAAGCAAAACUGAACCUAAGGAGGAAAUGUGUGACUGACAGAAGGUCAUCAGUUCACUGCUCUAUACGGCUCCCUUGGAAUCCAAGAGAUUUCACUUGAGAUCCAAUGAUGCCUGAGGCCCUUCCUCAGGUCUGACAGAGAGUAAAGCUCAUCAGAUAAGCCAGAGACCUCUUCCUCAUGAGCAUACAUUUCAUCUGACCUGCCGGUAAGGAGGAGCAAACGUGACUUCCACACAAAGCUUGGUCUGUGCUUCAGGGCUGAGAAGCCUCCUUCAGUCAUGUGCAGGCAGGCACUAGAGAUUCCUGAGGCCUCUGGCAUGUUCAUUGUGGGGACAUUUGCAGAACUGGAUCCAAACCAAGACUGGCAAGAGCUGG
This 600-nucleotide long non-coding RNA is filed under the name Chinchilla lanigera (long-tailed chinchilla). RNAcentral describes it as "lncRNA (ENSCLAG00000025016.1)". Lineage: Eukaryota; Metazoa; Chordata; Mammalia; Rodentia; Chinchillidae. The record is from RNAcentral.